RNAcentral lists this ribosomal RNA (183 nucleotides) under uncultured bacterium. RNAcentral describes it as "partial 16S ribosomal RNA". It matches the Rfam family "Bacterial small subunit ribosomal RNA", at positions 1320 to 1500 of the family's 1533-position model. The record is from RNAcentral.
AUGAAGCUGGAGUUGCUAGUAAUCGCGAAUCAGCAUGUCGCGGUGAAUACGUUCCCGGGCCUUGUACACACCGCCCGUCACACCAUGAGAGUUGGCAAUACCCAACGUACGUGAUCUAACCCGCAAGGGGGGAAGCGUCCUAAGGUAGGGUCAGCGAUUGGGGUGAAGUCGUAACAAGGUAGC